This 101-nucleotide transfer RNA is filed under the name Sporisorium reilianum f. sp. reilianum. RNAcentral describes it as "transfer RNA-Glu(CTC)". It matches the Rfam family "tRNA". Rfam says of the family: Transfer RNA (tRNA) molecules are approximately 80 nucleotides in length. Their secondary structure includes four short double-helical elements and three loops (D, anti-codon, and T loops). Further hydrogen bonds mediate the characteristic L-shaped molecular structure. tRNAs have two regions of fundamental functional importance: the anti-codon, which is responsible for specific mRNA codon recognition, and the 3' end, to which the tRNAs corresponding amino acid is attached (by aminoacyl-tRNA synthetases). tRNAs cope with the degeneracy of the genetic code in two manners: having more than one tRNA (with a specific anti-codon) for a particular amino acid; and 'wobble' base-pairing, i.e. permitting non-standard base-pairing at the 3rd anti-codon position. Lineage: Eukaryota; Fungi; Basidiomycota; Ustilaginomycetes; Ustilaginales; Ustilaginaceae. The record is from RNAcentral.
UCCCAGUUAGUACAAUGGUUAGUAUAGGGCACUCUCACUCCACCGUUGUAUUAACACGAUCUUGUACUGCUCAGAUCAGGGUUCGAUUCCCUGGCCGGGAA